Molecule: ribosomal RNA, 618 nt
Filed under: uncultured bacterium
Lineage: Bacteria
Description: bacterial SSU rRNA
Rfam family: Bacterial small subunit ribosomal RNA
Source: RNAcentral
GGAGACUUCGGUCUCUAAGUAAAGCGGCGAAUGGGUGAGUAUCGCGUGGGCAAUCUGCCCUCGAGACCGGGACAACCUGGCGAAAGCCGGGCUAAUACCGGAUAAGCCCACGGGGGCUUCGGCUCCUGUGGGAAAAGGGUGCCCUCUCCAUGGAAGGUACCGCUCGAAGAUGGGCCCGCGUCCGAUUAGCUUGUUGGUGAGGUAACGGCUCACCAAGGCCGAGAUCGGUAGCUGGUCUGAGAGGAUGAUCAGCCACACUGGGACUGAGACACGGCCCAGACUCCUACGGGAGGCAGCAGUGGGGAAUAUUGCGCAAUGGGGGAAACCCUGACGCAGCAACGCCGCGUGAGUGAUGAAGGCCCUUGGGUCGUAAAGCUCUGUCGGGUGGGACGAAUGGCCGCGGGUGAAUAACCCGUUGGCUUUGACGGUACCGCCAAAGGAAGCACCGGCUAACUCCGUGCCAGCAGCCGCGGUAAUACGGAGGGUGCGAGCGUUGUUCGGAAUUACUGGGCGUAAAGAGCUUGUAGGCGGCUUGUUAAGUCUGAUGUGAAAGCCCUCGACUCAACCGGGGAAGUGCAUUGGAUACUGGCGAGCUUGAGUAUGGGAGAGGAGAGCGGA